This 1046-nucleotide long non-coding RNA is filed under the name Anser brachyrhynchus (Pink-footed goose). Its description in RNAcentral is "lncRNA (ENSABRG00000020534.1)". The record is from RNAcentral. Lineage: Eukaryota; Metazoa; Chordata; Aves; Anseriformes; Anatidae.
UGACUGGUAGAAUAUCACUUUUUACUGGUGUACUUCUUUUCCUUUGGAGAAUAACGUUUGCUGGUAGACUUUCAAGCCUUAAACACCAAAAAACACUAAUAAAUGCAGCAGAUAAGAAAUAUGCAAAAACGAGAAAACAUUUGUCUGGAGACCUACAGGGAUAACAAACUCUACAGGUAGAGAUGUUAAUUUUGGAUCAUGCUAUCUCCAUAUUCCAAAUUAACUCAUAGGAUAACAACGUCCAAUCGUUUAUGACACCACAGUGAGCACAACUAGGUGUAUUCAGGGUGGAGGCUACAUCUGAGGCAAAAUACCUGUUUAAAGUAGGUCAUGUCACAGUAUUUCACGCGGAUGAUCUUUAGCAGUAAUGGAAAUGGGAUGGUGCCCUGCACUUUGGGAAACCCCCUCUGGGGCAGUGCAGACAGCAAGCCAGCAUUUGGCUGGAUUAUAAAUAACUAGAUUUGGCCUGGCUGCUCUGUGGAUUAUGCAAGUUCAGUGUAGACGAGGAAAAGCGGAUUAAGGGCCUCAUGUUGCCUCUUUGUGAGCCAGCAGUUUGCUCUUACUACACCGACAUGAGGCCAAGGAGCGGGACAGAGUGACGGCGGCUCCCCUGGCAGUGGGCAGGAGGCAAAACUUCAUAUGACAGCAUCUUGGAUCAUGGCACUCACUGGAGCAUGCACCUCACAUUGCCAAUCUGAACAGUCACCCGCACUGUUUCCUGAGAUCUUCAGGUCGGCGCCAACACCACUGCACCUAACUGGUUUCAGCAGCCAUGAGAUGGGGAUCUCCAUCACCUGAGACCAGCUGAUGAACACAGCAGCAUCCAUGAGCUGUUCUCAGCAGGAGCAGUGAGGCUGCGUGCUGUGCUGUGCUGGGCUGUGCCGUGCUGGGCUUGGCUAGCAGCAACUUCGCAGGAGUGCUGACAGCGUGUGGACAGAGAAGCUGUGGUCUUCUCAUUUCUCAUGCAUGCCCACCUUACUGUCCCUUCUAAGGCUUGCACACAAGACCUUAAGGAUAGCCACCCAACAUAUUAAAUGAAUUUUCAC